RNAcentral lists this long non-coding RNA (1342 nucleotides) under Homo sapiens (human). RNAcentral's name for it is "HSALNT0231697". Lineage: Eukaryota; Metazoa; Chordata; Mammalia; Primates; Hominidae. The record is from RNAcentral.
CCAAAAGGAGGAAUGCUUCCUUGGGAGACACAAUGAUUCCAUCAAACUGGAAGUUAUGACUCCCACCAGGCCACAUUGAGUCCUUAGACUUCUGGAUCAACAGGCAAAGAGGCCAGCACUGUGGCUCACACCUGUAAUCCCAGAACUUUGGGAGGCCGAGGCAGGUGGAUCACUUGAGGUCAGGAGCUUGAGACCAGCCUGACCAACAUGGAGAAACCCCAUCUCUACUAAAAAUACAAAAUUAGCCGGGCAUGGUGGUGCAUGCCUGUAAUCCCAGCUACUCAGGAGGCAAGUCAGGAGAAUUGCUUGAACACAAGAGGCGGAGGUUGUGGUGAGCUGAGAUCGUGCCAUUGCACUCCAGCCUAGGGAACAAAAGCGAAACUCCGUCUCAAAAAAAAAAAAAGAAAAGAAAAGAAAAGAAAAGAAACAACAACAACAACAACAAAACAGGCAAAGAAAGGAGUCACUAUUCUGGCUAGGGUGAUUGUGGCUACUUCUUGGUAAUCACAAUCUCUGCAAUCAAGGUAAGGAGGAGGAUGUCUGGAAUACAAGAGAUCCCUUAGGGUGUCUCUUAUUACUACCAUGUCCUGUGAUUGAAGCCAAUGGAAAACUUUAACAACCCAACUGGGACAGGAAUGCAUGGCCCAGACCCUUCCAGAAUGAAGGUUUAGGUCACCCCACCAAGUAAAGAACCACCAUUGGCUGAGGUGUUUACUGAAAGCAAAUGGAAUAAUAGGUCAUAAAAGAAGAAAGUUAUAAAUAGCAGCUAUGACCAUGUGACCAGUUACAGAGUUUAGGUCUGUGACUAAUGGAGAACAAAACAAAACAAAACAAAACUGGUCAUUCCCCACAGGGAGUUUGGGAAACCGGAUGUCAGAUUCCAGCCACUGGGGAGUUGGAUUUCACCCUCUGUAGUCACUUUCAAGUCUAAAAUCCCACGAAGAACUGAAGUUGGGCAGGGAAAUUGAAAGUAAAAGUGAGGAAUGGAGAAGUUUCUGUGCCACAUUUGACGUGAAACUGAAAGUGAUCAUGUAUGUGUCCCUCCUGCUCCCAUAUGAUCUGGCACAGCGCCAUUCAGUUUUACAGAAGCUGAAGCUCAGUGCAGUAGCCUGGCUUGCCAGAAUGCACUCUUUCUUAACGGCUCACAUUUCCAUCCACAGCCCAGGUCUCUGCCCUCCCAGUUCAAUCCCUCACCCCAGUCCGUUAUUUUUAAGGCAUAUAAAGGAAACCAGAGACAGAAUCAAGUCAAAGCUGUUUUAUUAUCAUUCACAUUAUUUCAUAGAAAAAGGAAUAUAGCAAACGGUCACGGUCAGGGUUGUACAUAAAAAAUCCAGGUUUGUGG